Molecule: ribosomal RNA, 258 nt
Filed under: uncultured Paracoccus sp.
Lineage: Bacteria; Pseudomonadati; Pseudomonadota; Alphaproteobacteria; Rhodobacterales; Paracoccaceae
Description: partial 16S ribosomal RNA
Rfam family: Bacterial small subunit ribosomal RNA
Source: RNAcentral
AACCCACACUUCAGUUGCCAUCAUUCAUUGGGCACUCUGGAAGAACUGCCGGUGAUAAGCCCGGAGGAAGGUGUGGAUGACGUCAAGUCCUCAUGGCCCUUACGGGUUGGGCUACACACGUGCUACAAUGGUGGUGACAGUGGGUUAAUCCCCAAAAGCCAUCUCAGUUCGGAUUGUCGUCUGCAACUCGACGGCAUGAAGUUGGAAUCGCUAGUAAUCGCGUAACAGCAUGACGCGGUGAAUACGUUCCCGGGCCUU